GUCUAUAACCAUUCCAUUCUGAUACAUAUGCUCGUGUGUGAUCUCAGAAACUAAGGAGGGUCAGGUCCAUCUUGGCUGGGAGUCUACUCAGGACUAUCAGGUGCUAUAGGAU
Molecule: ribosomal RNA, 112 nt
Filed under: Microtus ochrogaster (prairie vole)
Lineage: Eukaryota; Metazoa; Chordata; Mammalia; Rodentia; Cricetidae
Source: RNAcentral